CUGAAGACAACAGCACGAAAAAGUUGUGGCUCACGAACUUACAACUUUUGACGGCUUCAUCAUAAAUAAAACCUCACCAGACGACUAAGGACUCCGACAAACACCUGAACAGAGAGGACAACAUCUACGAAAUGGAGACGGUAAGAUUUCAUGACAAUAUUAUCAUACAAACUUGUGUUACUGUCGAGACUUUCGUGAUGGAUGCAUCGACAAGAAUUAAAUGUGUGCAUGGAUAUUUACAGUGUUUAUGACUUUAAUGUGACAGGCAUUAUCAAAAUUAACCGAAAAUAAGUGAACAUAGGCGUUUUUUUGUGUGUGUGUUACUGUCGAAACGUUCGAAUGGUUAGCUUAAAAGUGAUGCAUUGACAUCACAUGAAAGUCCUGCCCACCAUGUCAAAGACUCUGUGCUUAAGAGCAGAAAGCUCAUGUUAUUGUGCGAAAUCUCUCUAAAAGAUUUUUUUAUGUCUUCUGGGCUAUUUAAAGCCGUCAGUCUGAAACUUAUUUGACAGUUUCUCUUUAUACUAACCAAUGCUAUCAGGUGAAAACUAUAAACACAAGCUAUUUUCAUUCUUAUUACAGUAAAAGAGGCACAUUAAAGGAGUGAAAUGUGGUGUUAAAAUAAGGGACACCUUCAUAACUUUAAAGAAUGACAGUCAUCAUAAAAUUUAACAAAAUAAACUAAAAAGACAUAAUACUUAGACCUAUUUAUAAGUGCUCUAAUAGGCCUAAGUAACCAAAAAAAUCAUAUAAAUUACAUUUGAACCUAAUUAAAAAGUUACAAAAACAGACGAAAUUAAGUUAAAAGUAAUGUCUUAUGUACAGCUUUUAAAAUGAAGAGUUCGAUAAUGUUCCACUGAAAUAUGUUUUCAUGUUUUCAUGGAUCAAGUGUGUGUGUGUUUUUUUACCACAAUAUUUAAAAUUUCAAUUAUGGGAAAAAUUCACUAAGUGUAAUCGAAACACUGUCCUUUUGUGGACGUCAGUUUUUUAUCAAACUGAAAGCAGAGGAUUUUCUUAUUUAAUCUAAAGUCUUUUUCCCAAUAAAAUAAAAUGACUGAAAUAGACAUACCAAAAAAUAUAAAUUCUUAAUGGAGGGUGUUGCAUUGAUGUUAAUCUAUUUCUAUUGCACAAUUAACCUGCUAAUUAGAGACUAAAUUCAAAUUAAAAUGUAUUGACUGUCUCUUCUUGAUGAUACUGAUGUUACAGAUGCUUCCUUCAUGACCUUGACCACACAGUCAAAUGUUACAGCUUGUUUAAUUUAAAUGUCUGCGUUGUUUCUGUCUUCAGACCAACCAGACCAAUUUCAAAGAUGUGAAACCUUCCCCUAAAAAAUCAUUUCUGCAGAUUUCAGAUUUUAUAAUUUGUCGGUUUUUCUUUCUCAGGUCCGAGUGGAGCAGUACAGCCUCAUCCAGAACCAGGAUAAGUCCACUCCUAGGCUGUUACUGAGGAAGGUCCCACCGAUGGACGGCCCUCCAAGUUUCUCCUCCCCCAAGGUCAUCCAG
Xyrichtys novacula (pearly razorfish) is the source of this 1499-nucleotide non-coding RNA. The record is from the annotation of a GenBank genome assembly. Lineage: Eukaryota; Metazoa; Chordata; Actinopteri; Labriformes; Labridae.